RNAcentral lists this ribosomal RNA (545 nucleotides) under uncultured archaeon. RNAcentral's name for it is "bacterial SSU rRNA". It matches the Rfam family "Bacterial small subunit ribosomal RNA", at positions 509 to 1050 of the family's 1533-position model. The record is from RNAcentral.
CAGCAGCCGCGGUAAGACGGAGGGGGCUAGCGUUGUCCGGAAUUACUGGGCGUAAAGCGCUCGUAGGCGGUCGUCUACGGCGGUGGUGAAAGCUCCCGGCUCAACUGGGAGAGGCCCGCCGCAACGGGACGACUCGAGGGUGGUAGAGGCAAAUGGAAUUCCUGGUGUAGCGGUGAAAUGCGUAGAGAUCAGGAGGAACACCCGUGGCGAAGGCGGUUUGCUGGGCCACACCUGACGCUGAGGAGCGAAAGCCAGGGGAGUGAACGGGAUUAGAUACCCCGGUAAUCCUGGCCGUAAACGAUGGAUACUAGGUGUCAGCGGUAUCGACCCCGCUGGUGCCGGAGCUAACGCGUGAAGUAUCCCGCCUGGGGAGUACGGCCGCAAGGUUGAAACUCAAAGGAAUUGACGGGGGCCCGCACAAGCGGUGGAGUAUGUGGUUUAAUUCGAUGCAACGCGAAGAACCUUACCAGGGCUUGACAUCCCGGGAACCCGCCUGAAAGGGCGGGGUGCCCUUCGGGGAGCCCGGAGACAGGAGGUGCAUGGCC